This 482-nucleotide ribosomal RNA is filed under the name uncultured bacterium. Its description in RNAcentral is "bacterial SSU rRNA". It matches the Rfam family "Bacterial small subunit ribosomal RNA", at positions 30 to 506 of the family's 1533-position model. The record is from RNAcentral.
UUGAACGCUGGCGGAAUGCUUUACACAUGCAAGUCGAGUGGCAGCGCGGGGGCAACCCUGGCGGCGAGCGGCGAAUGGGUGAGUAAUGUAUCGGAACGUACCCUGUCGUGGGGGAUAACACAGCGAAAGCUGUGCUAAUACCGCAUACGACCUGAGGGUGAAAGCGGGGGAUCGCAAGACCUCGCGCGAUAGGAGCGGCCGAUAUCGGAUUAGCUUGUUGGUGAGGUAAAGGCUCACCAAGGCGACGAUCCGUAGCUGGUCUGAGAGGAUGAUCAGCCACACUGGAACUGAGACACGGUCCAGACUCCUACGGGAGGCAGCAGUGGGGAAUUUUGGACAAUGGGUGCAACCCUGAUCCAGCCAUUCCGCGUGAGUGAAGAAGGCCUUCGGGUUGUAAAGCUCUUUCAGCAGGAACGAAACGGUGGCUACUAAUACUAGCUACUAAUGACGGUACCUGAAGAAGAAGCACCGGCUAACUACGU